AUUUUUUUCAUUGAAACUAUUGGUGUCAUUCAGUGUAACCAUAGAUAAAAUAAGACAUCUAAGGUUACACCAAAGUGAUGUUACCAUUGGUGUUAAAUAAUAGUGUGAUUAAUAAUUGAAAUUUUAGGCGGUUGAAUAAAAAAUAUAUGGGCGAGCUUUUAAAUCUAAAGGAAAAGCAAUGCGGGAAUAAUUGUCUUGAAACUAAACAAGCUGAAGAAACACAGAAAUACUCCCACAAAACACAAAAAGACACUCACGAAAACACUCUCCCCGCUCACAAACACUCAGCAUCGGGUCUUCAGCUCAGACCUAGAGGAAAUUGGGUCUAAAAGAGGCAAGCGGGUUUCAAUUACGAGUGUUUCAAACUCUGAGUCAGGGCCAAUAAUCCGGAAGUAUUGAAGCUACUAUGGACCAGGGGAGCUGAAAGGCCUCCAUUGGAACCUCCAGAUGAUAAGAGCAUAAGAACCCUCUAUGUGAACAAGAUGGAUGGAAGAAUUACUGAGCUGGAUCCAAGGGAUAAAUUCCAUGCUUAUGGCGAAAUUGAGACUUUAAAAAUGGUCUCGCAAGCUUGUGCUUUUAUAACAUACAUGAGAGUGCAGAAAAAGCAGCUAAAUAAUUCUCAAACAAGUUGAUUAUAAAAUGUUUGUGGAUGAAGCUGAUGUUAUUAUUUAAGUAUUUCACCAUUUCUUUUGGCAGGAGAGGGUAUCUUUUUAUCCCAAAAAGAAUCUUCUAGUGGCUCAAAUGUGAGCAAGUUUAAAUUUUAUGAAUUUGGUAUACAGUUCAACUUCUUAAAAUUUACAAUUUGGUAUUUAGUUUCUUAAUUUCAUGGGCCUCGUGCUUUAUUUCGAAUGAAA
RNA transcript from Daucus carota subsp. sativus, 854 nucleotides. RefSeq lists it as uncharacterized. The transcript is spliced from 2 exons. The record is from RefSeq and is a predicted model, not a curated record. NCBI's taxonomy places the organism in Eukaryota, Viridiplantae, Streptophyta, Magnoliopsida, Apiales, Apiaceae.